This 468-nucleotide ribosomal RNA is filed under the name uncultured bacterium. RNAcentral's name for it is "partial 16S ribosomal RNA". It matches the Rfam family "Bacterial small subunit ribosomal RNA", at positions 28 to 507 of the family's 1533-position model. The record is from RNAcentral.
GACGAACGCUGGCGGCGUGCUUAACACAUGCAAGUCGAACGGAAAGGCCCUGCUUUUGUGGGGUGCUCGAGUGGCGAACGGGUGAGUAACACGUGAGUAACCUGCCCUUGACUUUGGGAUAACUUCAGGAAACUGGGGUUAAUACCGGAUAGGAGCUCCUGCUGCAUGGUGGGGGUUGGAAAGUUUCGGCGGUUGGGGAUGGACUCGCGGCUUAUCAGCUUGUUGGUGGGGUAGUGGCUUACCAAGGCUUUGACGGGUAGCCGGCCUGAGAGGGUGACCGGCCACAUUGGGACUGAAAUACGGCCCAGACUCCUACGGGAGGCAGCAGUGGGGAAUAUUGCACAAUGGGCGGAAGCCUGAUGCAGCAACGCCGCGUGCGGGAUGACGGCCUUCGGGUUGUAAACCGCUUUCGCCUGUGACGAAGCGUGAGUGACGGUAAUGGGUAAAGAAGCACCGGCUAACUACGUG